CAUGCAGUCGACGAGACGGGAUUGCUUGCAAUCCUUAGUAGAGUGGCGCACGGGUGAGUAACACGUAGAUAAUCUACCUUCAAGCCUGGGAUAACUAUUCGAAAGGAUGGCUAAUACCGGAUGAAGUGUUUUGGCAUAAGUUGAAACAUGAAAGGUUGCCUCUUCUUGAAAGCAAUUGUUUGGAGAUGAGUCUGCGGACCAUUAGUUUGUUGGUGGGGUAAAGGCCUACCAAGACUACGAUGGUUAGCUGGUCUGAGAGGAUGAUCAGCCACACUGGAACUGACACACGGUCCAGACUCCUACGGGAGGCAGCAGUGAGGAAUUUUGCGCAAUGGGGGAAACCCUGACGCAGCAACGCCGCGUGAGUGAAGAAGGCCCUUGGGUCGUAAAGCUCUGUCGACAGGGAAGAAAUUACUUUGUAUUAAUAGUGCAUCGUAUUGACGGUACCUGUAGAGGAAGCACCGGCUAACUCCGUGCCAGCAGCCGCGGUAAUACGGGGGGUGCAAGCGUUAUUCGGAAUUAUUGGGCGUAAAGGGCGCGUAGGCGGUCUUGUCGGUCAGAUGUGAAAGUCCGGGGCUCAACCCUGGAAGUGCAUUUGAACAUGCAGUCGCAUGCAGUCGCAUGCAGUCGCAUGCAGUCGCAUGCAGUCGUGAAAU
Molecule: ribosomal RNA, 656 nt
Filed under: uncultured Desulfobacula sp.
Lineage: Bacteria; Pseudomonadati; Thermodesulfobacteriota; Desulfobacteria; Desulfobacterales; Desulfobacteraceae
Description: bacterial SSU rRNA
Rfam family: Bacterial small subunit ribosomal RNA
Source: RNAcentral